UACGUAGGGUGCAAGCGUUGUCCGGAAUUAUUGGGCGUAAAGAGCUCGUAGGCGGUUUGUCGCGUCUGCUGUGAAAACCCGAGGCUCAACCUCGGGCCUGCAGUGGGUACGGGCAGACUAGAGUGCGGUAGGGGAGAUUGGAAUUCCUGGUGUAGCGGUGGAAUGCGCAGAUAUCGGGAAGAACACCCGUGGCGAAGGCGGCACUCUGGGACGGUACUGACGCUGAGACGCGAAAGCGUGGGGAGCGAACAGG
RNAcentral lists this ribosomal RNA (253 nucleotides) under uncultured bacterium. RNAcentral's name for it is "partial 16S ribosomal RNA". It matches the Rfam family "Bacterial small subunit ribosomal RNA", at positions 524 to 776 of the family's 1533-position model. The record is from RNAcentral.